This 216-nucleotide ribosomal RNA is filed under the name uncultured bacterium. RNAcentral describes it as "partial 16S ribosomal RNA". It matches the Rfam family "Bacterial small subunit ribosomal RNA", at positions 524 to 735 of the family's 1533-position model. The record is from RNAcentral.
UACGUAGGGUGCAAGCGUUAAUCGGAAUUACUGGGCGUAAAGCGUGCGCAGGCGGUUUUGUAAGUUUGUCGUGAAAUCCCCCGGGCUCAACCUGGGGAAUGGCGAUGAAGACUGCAAGGCUAGAAUCUGGCAGAGGGGGGGUAGAAUUCCACGUGUAGCAGUGAAAAUGCGUAGAGAUGUGGAGGAACACCGAUGGCGAAGGCAGCCCCCUGGGCA